RNAcentral lists this ribosomal RNA (2901 nucleotides) under Escherichia coli. Its description in RNAcentral is "bacterial LSU rRNA". It matches the Rfam family "Bacterial large subunit ribosomal RNA". The record is from RNAcentral. Lineage: Bacteria; Pseudomonadati; Pseudomonadota; Gammaproteobacteria; Enterobacterales; Enterobacteriaceae.
UUAAGCGACUAAGCGUACACGGUGGAUGCCCUGGCAGUCAGAGGCGAUGAAGGACGUGCUAAUCUGCGAUAAGCGUCGGUAAGGUGAUAUGAACCGUUAUAACCGGCGAUUUCCGAAUGGGGAAACCCAGUGUGUUUCGACACACUAUCAUUAACUGAAUCCAUAGGUUAAUGAGGCGAACCGGGGGAACUGAAACAUCUAAGUACCCCGAGGAAAAGAAAUCAACCGAGAUUCCCCCAGUAGCGGCGAGCGAACGGGGAGCAGCCCAGAGCCUGAAUCAGUGUGUGUGUUAGUGGAAGCGUCUGGAAAGGCGCGCGAUACAGGGUGACAGCCCCGUACACAAAAAUGCACAUGCUGUGAGCUCGAUGAGUAGGGCGGGACACGUGGUAUCCUGUCUGAAUAUGGGGGGACCAUCCUCCAAGGCUAAAUACUCCUGACUGACCGAUAGUGAACCAGUACCGUGAGGGAAAGGCGAAAAGAACCCCGGCGAGGGGAGUGAAAAAGAACCUGAAACCGUGUACGUACAAGCAGUGGGAGCACGCUUAGGCGUGUGACUGCGUACCUUUUGUAUAAUGGGUCAGCGACUUAUAUUCUGUAGCAAGGUUAACCGAAUAGGGGAGCCGAAGGGAAACCGAGUCUUAACUGGGCGUUAAGUUGCAGGGUAUAGACCCGAAACCCGGUGAUCUAGCCAUGGGCAGGUUGAAGGUUGGGUAACACUAACUGGAGGACCGAACCGACUAAUGUUGAAAAAUUAGCGGAUGACUUGUGGCUGGGGGUGAAAGGCCAAUCAAACCGGGAGAUAGCUGGUUCUCCCCGAAAGCUAUUUAGGUAGCGCCUCGUGAAUUCAUCUCCGGGGGUAGAGCACUGUUUCGGCAAGGGGGUCAUCCCGACUUACCAACCCGAUGCAAACUGCGAAUACCGGAGAAUGUUAUCACGGGAGACACACGGCGGGUGCUAACGUCCGUCGUGAAGAGGGAAACAACCCAGACCGCCAGCUAAGGUCCCAAAGUCAUGGUUAAGUGGGAAACGAUGUGGGAAGGCCCAGACAGCCAGGAUGUUGGCUUAGAAGCAGCCAUCAUUUAAAGAAAGCGUAAUAGCUCACUGGUCGAGUCGGCCUGCGCGGAAGAUGUAACGGGGCUAAACCAUGCACCGAAGCUGCGGCAGCGACGCUUAUGCGUUGUUGGGUAGGGGAGCGUUCUGUAAGCCUGCGAAGGUGUGCUGUGAGGCAUGCUGGAGGUAUCAGAAGUGCGAAUGCUGACAUAAGUAACGAUAAAGCGGGUGAAAAGCCCGCUCGCCGGAAGACCAAGGGUUCCUGUCCAACGUUAAUCGGGGCAGGGUGAGUCGACCCCUAAGGCGAGGCCGAAAGGCGUAGUCGAUGGGAAACAGGUUAAUAUUCCUGUACUUGGUGUUACUGCGAAGGGGGGACGGAGAAGGCUAUGUUGGCCGGGCGACGGUUGUCCCGGUUUAAGCGUGUAGGCUGGUUUUCCAGGCAAAUCCGGAAAAUCAAGGCUGAGGCGUGAUGACGAGGCACUACGGUGCUGAAGCAACAAAUGCCCUGCUUCCAGGAAAAGCCUCUAAGCAUCAGGUAACAUCAAAUCGUACCCCAAACCGACACAGGUGGUCAGGUAGAGAAUACCAAGGCGCUUGAGAGAACUCGGGUGAAGGAACUAGGCAAAAUGGUGCCGUAACUUCGGGAGAAGGCACGCUGAUAUGUAGGUGAGGUCCCUCGCGGAUGGAGCUGAAAUCAGUCGAAGAUACCAGCUGGCUGCAACUGUUUAUUAAAAACACAGCACUGUGCAAACACGAAAGUGGACGUAUACGGUGUGACGCCUGCCCGGUGCCGGAAGGUUAAUUGAUGGGGUUAGCGCAAGCGAAGCUCUUGAUCGAAGCCCCGGUAAACGGCGGCCGUAACUAUAACGGUCCUAAGGUAGCGAAAUUCCUUGUCGGGUAAGUUCCGACCUGCACGAAUGGCGUAAUGAUGGCCAGGCUGUCUCCACCCGAGACUCAGUGAAAUUGAACUCGCUGUGAAGAUGCAGUGUACCCGCGGCAAGACGGAAAGACCCCGUGAACCUUUACUAUAGCUUGACACUGAACAUUGAGCCUUGAUGUGUAGGAUAGGUGGGAGGCUUUGAAGUGUGGACGCCAGUCUGCAUGGAGCCGACCUUGAAAUACCACCCUUUAAUGUUUGAUGUUCUAACGUUGACCCGUAAUCCGGGUUGCGGACAGUGUCUGGUGGGUAGUUUGACUGGGGCGGUCUCCUCCUAAAGAGUAACGGAGGAGCACGAAGGUUGGCUAAUCCUGGUCGGACAUCAGGAGGUUAGUGCAAUGGCAUAAGCCAGCUUGACUGCGAGCGUGACGGCGCGAGCAGGUGCGAAAGCAGGUCAUAGUGAUCCGGUGGUUCUGAAUGGAAGGGCCAUCGCUCAACGGAUAAAAGGUACUCCGGGGAUAACAGGCUGAUACCGCCCAAGAGUUCAUAUCGACGGCGGUGUUUGGCACCUCGAUGUCGGCUCAUCACAUCCUGGGGCUGAAGUAGGUCCCAAGGGUAUGGCUGUUCGCCAUUUAAAGUGGUACGCGAGCUGGGUUUAGAACGUCGUGAGACAGUUCGGUCCCUAUCUGCCGUGGGCGCUGGAGAACUGAGGGGGCUGCUCCUAGUACGAGAGGACCGGAGUGGACGCAUCACUGGUGUUCGGGUUGUCAUGCCAAUGGCACUGCCCGGUAGCUAAAUGCGGAAGAGAUAAGUGCUGAAAGCAUCUAAGCACGAAACUUGCCCCGAGAUGAGUUCUCCCUGACCCUUUAAGGGUCCUGAAGGAACGUUGAAGACGACGACGUUGAUAGGCCGGGUGUGUAAGCGCAGCGAUGCGUUGAGCUAACCGGUACUAAUGAACCGUGAGGCUUAACCUU